RNAcentral lists this ribosomal RNA (402 nucleotides) under uncultured bacterium. RNAcentral describes it as "bacterial SSU rRNA". It matches the Rfam family "Bacterial small subunit ribosomal RNA", at positions 768 to 1171 of the family's 1533-position model. The record is from RNAcentral.
ACCAAAUAGAUACCCAGGUAGUCCACGCCCUAAACGAUGCGAACUGGAUGUUGGGUACAUUACGGUACUCAGUGUCGAAAGCUAAACGCGUUAAGUUCGCCGCCUGGGGAGUACGGUCGCAAGACUGAAACUCAAAGGAAUUGACGGGGGCCCGCACAAGCGGUGGAGUAUGUGGUUUAAUUCGAUGCAACGCGAAGAACCUUACCUGGCCUUGACAUCUGUCGAAUCCUGCAGAGAUGCGGGAGUGCCGCAAGGAACGACAAGACAGGUGCUGCAUGGCUGUCGUCAGCUCGUGUCGUGAGAUGUUGGGUUAAGUCCCGCAACGAGCGCAACCCUUGUCCCUAGUUGCCAGCACAUCAUGGUGGGAACUCUAGGGAGACUGCCGGUGACAAACCGGAGGAA